UUGUUUUAUUUACUUUGAAAUGCACUCGUAGAUUUGAUCCACGUGCUUUGCACGAUUUGCUUGCAUUUACAGGUUCGUGAGAAUAACGUCCCAUCGUCAUACAUACCUUUUAACAGCACGAUUUUAAAGGAAAAA
Long non-coding RNA from Bombus pascuorum, 135 nucleotides. RefSeq lists it as uncharacterized. Lineage: Eukaryota; Metazoa; Arthropoda; Insecta; Hymenoptera; Apidae. The transcript is spliced from 2 exons. The record is from RefSeq and is a predicted model, not a curated record.